GUAGGGUGCGAGCGUUGUCCGGAUUUAUUGGGCGUAAAGGGCUCGUAGGUGGUUGAUCGCGUCGGAAGUGUAAUCUUGGGGCUUAACCCUGAGCGUGCUUUCGAUACGGGUUGACUUGAGGAAGGUAGGGGAGAAUGGAAUUCCUGGUGGAGCGGUGGAAUGCGCAGAUAUCAGGAGGAACACCAGUGGCGAAGGCGGUUCUCUGGGCCUUUCCUGACGCUGAGGAGCGAAAGCGUGGGGAGCGAACAGGCUUAGAUACCCUGGUAGUCCACGCUGUAAACGGUGGGUACUAGGUGUGGGGUCCAUUCCCACGGGUUCCGUGCCGUAGCUAACGCUUUAAGUACCCCGCCUGGGAGUACGGCCGCAAGGCUA
This 372-nucleotide ribosomal RNA is filed under the name uncultured organism. RNAcentral describes it as "partial 16S ribosomal RNA". It matches the Rfam family "Bacterial small subunit ribosomal RNA", at positions 527 to 896 of the family's 1533-position model. The record is from RNAcentral.